GGUCUUGUUCUGUCACCCAGGCUGAAGUGCAGUGGCGAGAGGUUCACGGCAGCCUUGACCUCCUGGCUGAAGCGAUCCAGCCAUCUCAGCCCCCCGAGUAGCUGAGACCACAGGCUUAGGCAGAUACUCCGAUAUUUCUGACACAUACAUACACGGAAAACCUUGCAAGAGUGGAGAAAAGAAGGGAGAGCCUCGGUGUCUGGAUGCCCAGCCUAACCAAGUCAGCUUCCCAUCUGGCUGAGACAAGGAGAACCCUGCUGGGCUAGGGGACCCAGAUACUGACCAGGUUCUGCAUGUGAUUUCCCUGUGGAAUUCCAACCAAGGACAGACAGCCUAAAAACAACAGCAGAAGCAGCAGCAACAACGAUGCUGAGUGCUGACUGCGAGCCUGGCUUCCUCGGAGGGAGUUUACCGUGCGCUGCCUCCUUGGACCCUCAUCACUGCCCUGCGAAGCAGGCACUUUCCUCACCCCCUCUGUCUGGAGGAGGGCACUGAGGCACCGAGAAAACUGGGCAGGGGAGGCCCGAGAAGGAGAGGGUGGCACCGUCAUUCUCACUUUCCAGCUGAGGACACGGGUAAGUGGCAUGCAUCUGCUCCUGUGACUUACAGGAGUCCUGGGACUCGCACUCAGGCCUCUGGACUCCUAGCCUGGUGUUUUCCCCUGGAAGUUUCUGAACCAAAAAAAAAAUGUCUGAACCAAAGCAAACAACGAGAUUGUGAGUGGAAAUCAGCUUCAGCUUCCCUGGUGUUUCUCCACGGUGAUCCCCUGUGUCUGUCACUGAAGGGGCCAGGAUGUCACCACCAACGGUAAUGACCUGGGCUUUGAGUGGAGCAUUUAACCUGUUCAGCCAGCUGUUGGAAGUGCAGAAACUAGUCCCUCCCAGUCACAAACUACCCCGGUUGCUCCACCAUCUGCAUCCAGCUUCAUUACUUAAUUCACUUUGCAAAGUUAAUCCAGUGAUCCAAGCUCCUAAUAGUCCCCAGUUUGACUUCCGCAGCUUCCCUUUCCCUCCACACCCAGCCUAUUCCGGGCUUCUGGGUCAUCAAGAAGCAGGACCCUUUCUGUUGAUUUCUUCUGGGAGGAGGCCAUCUCAAUAGCCCUUUACAACAACCCAUGAGGUCUCCUGAUUUCCAUGUGUUCUUGGAGUCCCCUGAGCUUUGGUUUGCAGCACAAGCUCAUUCCCCUCUGUGCUCCCCUCUCACUGUGUGGAACCUUCUCUAAUAGACUCACCUCUGGGGAGAGGACGUGCUCCUUUCUGGCCGCAGCUGCAGCCAUUCCAAUGUACAUCAAAGCGCUCGUCUUUCUAUCUCCACUUCUUAAAUGGUUUUGCUUUUUCUCUGUUUCUUCCUUCUCGUGGGCAGCUCAGAGCUCAUCUGUGACAGUGACCACCCUUCUGCCCCAGCCCUGGCCCCACGACCUUCCCUAACACUGCAAACAACUUCACUCUUGGCCUCCUGCUGGAUAUCUGGUCAGUGGCCUACAUUCCUCCCACUCAUGCCUCUCUCUUUUCUUUCUUUCUUUUCUCUCUCUAUCUCUUUUUUUUUUUUUUUUUUUUGAGACAGGAUCUUGCCCAGGCUGAAGCCCAAGUGGCAUGAUCAAGGCUCACUGAAGCCUCAACCUCCCAGGUUGAAGCCAUCCACCCACCUCAGCCUCCAGAGUAGCUGGGACCACAGGUGUGCACCACGAUGCCUGGCUAAUUUUGUCUUUUUAAAAUUUUUUUGUUGACAGGGUCUCACUAUGUUGCCCAGGCUGGUCUUGAACUCCUGGACUCAGGCAAUCCUCUCACCUUGGCCUCCCAAAGUGCUGGGAUUACAGUUGUGAGCCACCAUACCUGGCCUGCAUACCCUUUUCUAUCUGGCUUUCUAGACUUUAAAAUCUUUCUUGGUGGCUCCAGUUUGCCAUAUCUUAUGGUCCUGAAAUGACCCCUGUCACUGAGGCAGGGAGCAGAGGAGACUGGGAAUUUGUGCUGAUGGUAAAUAGAUAUGGUUUGAAUCCUGGCCACUGCCCACCAGCCAUGUGACCAAGACUUAACCAUAUUUUUUCGGGGUGUUAUGCAGAGAUAAUGAGAUCAAAAUUGUAAGGCAUCUAGUACUGACAUAAUAAGCUCUCAACAAAUGGUAGCUAUUUAAGUGUUAAUAACAAAUCCUUUUCAGAUGGUUUCUAUAACAGUGAAUUUGCAAAUAGUUGGAACCUCUGAAGUGCUUCCUCUCCUGGACUGGAAACCCCUUGAGGUCAGGGGCCUUGUCUUCCUAUUCACAAUGUCUGUCUAGCACAUGGUAGGCUCUUAAUAUAUAUAUAUAUUUAUUUAUUUUUUGAUGAAUGAAUAAUCUAGACUAUCCUCAAUUCUGGUAUCACGAUUCCUUUCUAGUAUUAAAUUCCAAAUUAUAAUACAUGUUAAUUGCAGAAAAAUUGGAAAAUAUUUUUUAAAAAUAGGAAAACAAAAAAAUAGCUGUGAUCCUAGUCCCUAGAGAUAGCCACAGUUAAUAUUUUGAUAUAUUUCCCUGCAGCCUUUUUUUCUGUGCUUAUGCAUAUUUCAAAAAUUUUAUAUUCUGGCUUUUCAGUUAACAUAAUGAGCAUUUCCCUGUGUUACUAAAUAAUCUUCAUAAACAUAAUUUUAAGUGCUACAUAUAUUAUUCUGUGCUAUGAAUGUAUCAUAAUUUAUGUAACCAAUACCCAGUGGUUGAUAUUUAAGUUGUUUCCAUUUUUCACCAUUAUAAAUAAAGCUAUACUGAACAUC
This is a long non-coding RNA of Pan troglodytes (chimpanzee), 2738 nucleotides long. RefSeq lists it as uncharacterized. The transcript has 5 exons. The record is from RefSeq and is a predicted model, not a curated record. Lineage: Eukaryota; Metazoa; Chordata; Mammalia; Primates; Hominidae.